Molecule: ribosomal RNA, 484 nt
Filed under: uncultured bacterium
Lineage: Bacteria
Description: partial 16S ribosomal RNA
Rfam family: Bacterial small subunit ribosomal RNA
Source: RNAcentral
AUUGGACGCUGGCGGCAUGCUUUACACAUGCAAGUCGAACGGCAGCGCGGGCUUCGGCCUGGCGGCGAGUGGCGAACGGGUGAGUAAUGCAUCGGAACGUGCCCAGUAGUGGGGGAUAGCCCGGCGAAAGCCGGAUUAAUACCGCAUACGACCUGAGGGUGAAAGCGGGGGACCGAAAGGCCUCGAGCUAUUGGAGCGGCCGAUGUCGGAUUAGCUAGUUGGUGGGGUAAAGGCUUACCAAGGCGACGAUCCGUAGCUGGUCUGAGAGGACGACCAGCCACACUGGGACUGAGACACGGCCCAGACUCCUACGGGAGGCAGCAGUGGGGAAUUUUGGACAAUGGGGGCAACCCUGAUCCAGCCAUGCCGCGUGCGGGAAGAAGGCCUUCGGGUUGUAAACCGCUUUUGUUCGGGAAGAAAUCCUCUGGGCUAAUACCCCGGGGGGAUGACGGUACCGGAAGAAUAAGCACCGGCUAACUACGUG